This 320-nucleotide ribosomal RNA is filed under the name uncultured eukaryote. RNAcentral's name for it is "partial 18S ribosomal RNA". It matches the Rfam family "Eukaryotic small subunit ribosomal RNA", at positions 1470 to 1796 of the family's 1831-position model. The record is from RNAcentral.
CCCUUAGAUGUUCUGGGCUGCACGCGUGUUACAAUCGGGAGUACAACAAGAUUGCAAAUCCUAGUGGAUGAGUGGUUCUUCGAAAUUUUCUGAAGACUGGGAUAGUUGAUUGAAAUUAUUCAACUCAAACGAGGAAUUCCUUGUAAUUGUAAUUCAUUAUAUUGUAAUGAAUACGUCCCUGCCCUUUGUACACACCGCCCGUCGCUCCUACCGAUUGAACGAUCCGGUGAAUUAUUUGGAGUAGCUCUGGAAGUUGCAGAACUUCCUAUGUCACGAAAUUUUGUAAACCUUAUCAUUUAGAGGAAGGAGAAGUCGUAACA